This 433-nucleotide ribosomal RNA is filed under the name uncultured bacterium. RNAcentral describes it as "partial 16S ribosomal RNA". It matches the Rfam family "Bacterial small subunit ribosomal RNA", at positions 29 to 507 of the family's 1533-position model. The record is from RNAcentral.
AACGAACGCUGGCGGCAUGCCUAACACAUGCAAGUCGAACGAGACCUUCGGGUCUAGUGGCGCACGGGUGCGUAACGCGUGGGAACCUGCCCUUAGGUUCGGAAUAACUCCCCGAAAGGGGUGCUAAUACCGGAUAAUGUCUUCGGACCAAAGAUUUAUCGCCUUUGGAUGGGCCCGAGUUGGAUUAGCUAGUUGGUAGGGUAAAAGCCUACUAAGGCGACGAUCAAUAGCUGGUCUGAGAGGAUGAUCAGCCACACUGGGACUGAGACACGGCCCAGACUCCUACGGGAGGCAGCAGUGGGGAAUAUUGGACAAUGGGCGAAAGCCUGAUCCAGCACUGCCGCGUGAGUGAUGAAGGCCUUAGGGUUGUAAAGCUCUUUUACCCGGGAUGAUAAUGACAGUACCGGGAGAAUAAGCUCCGGCUAACUCCGUG